UACAGAGGGUGCGAGCGUUGUUCGGAAUUAUUGGGCGUAAAGGGCGCGUAGGCGGCCAUGCGUGUCUUCCGUGAAAUCCCUCGGCUUAACUGAGGACGUGCGGAAGAAACUGCAAGGCUCGAGUCCGGGAGAGGGGGGUGGAAUUCCCAGUGUAGCGGUGAAAUGCGUAGAUAUUGGGAGGAACACCGGUGGCGAAGGCGGCCCCCUGGACCGGUACUGACGCUGAGGCGCGAAAGCGUGGGUAGCAAACGGG
This 253-nucleotide ribosomal RNA is filed under the name uncultured bacterium. Its description in RNAcentral is "partial 16S ribosomal RNA". It matches the Rfam family "Bacterial small subunit ribosomal RNA", at positions 524 to 776 of the family's 1533-position model. The record is from RNAcentral.